ACUCUGAGCAGUGGAUCACUAGGCUCACGAGUCGAUGAAGAACGCAGCUUGCUGCGAUAAUUGGUGUGAAUUGCAGGAUUUGCUUCAAUCAACGAAACU
Molecule: ribosomal RNA, 99 nt
Filed under: Nephila pilipes (giant wood spider)
Lineage: Eukaryota; Metazoa; Arthropoda; Arachnida; Araneae; Nephilidae
Description: partial 5.8S ribosomal RNA
Rfam family: 5.8S ribosomal RNA
About the family: 5.8S ribosomal RNA (5.8S rRNA) is a component of the large subunit of the eukaryotic ribosome.
Source: RNAcentral